Non-coding RNA from Danio rerio (zebrafish), 921 nucleotides. The record is from RefSeq and is a predicted model, not a curated record. Lineage: Eukaryota; Metazoa; Chordata; Actinopteri; Cypriniformes; Danionidae.
UUAUUAUUAUUAUUAUUAAUAUUCAUUUUCAGAACAUAUUUCAUUUCAAACCUGACAGAUUUCUCUGGUUCCAAAAAUCAUUACUGGUUCUUGCAAAGGCAAGAAAGCAAUAUUAGGAAAUAAAUAUUGUCUUCUUCACACAGUUGUGUAUUAUUUCACAGAAUAAAAAUGAUGAUGACUCAUCCUGCACUACACCAAAUCUGUCCAAUCAAAUGCUUUCUAGAGCAAGACCCUCCCCCAACACAACAUGUGACAGACCGGCAGCACAACAAACACAUCUUCUGGACUCUCUUCUGGUAAUAUGAGCUCCUAAAUACCUUUCCUGAUGCUUUGAAUCCGCCUGGAUGUGGACAAAGGUGUCAGGUGAAAGCUGUGCAGCUGAAACACAACAGACACACGAGUGUCUUCGCUGCUGCAGAUCCGCCCUCACUGUCAUUCAGCUGCAGAGGAGAGCGAGAGAGCAAUGAAUGAACACAAACACUGCAACAACAUCACUACAAACUUACUACAUUACUCUCAGGACUUCACACACCAGCGCUUCUUCACGCCGAAAGAAAGUCACAGGAUCAGUGAAGUGUUGUGGACUGUAAGCCUGUUGAGCAGAAGCAGAGACGAGUGGACAAACACUGACUGUACUGAUGAUGAUCAUCUGCUGCUGCACAGCAGUAAUGAAGUAUAACCCCUGCUGGACAUGGCUCCGGAAGCUCCAGGGGGAGACCGAACUGGUAUCCCCACCUCUCCAGGCACAACUCACUCACUGUGCACUCAUAUUGCAAAGAUCCGGCUGGGAUCGAUCCAGCAACCAUUAAAGUCAUGGGGCAGCGAUCUUACCACAGAGCCACUGAUCUCCUGUCUGGAUGCCUGCUGGAAUUGAUGUCACUGCUGACCUGUUUCAAUAAAACAAUAUAUGUCAAAAUUGAA